AGUGUUCAAGCCCCACCUUUGGAGUCGAGUCCUGCCUUCUACCUCAGAACCGCCACCAUAAUCAGGAUUUAGAAUGUGUCACCCCAAAAAGCUUUUUCAUGCCCCUGGCCCCUUGCUUUCAAUCUCCUACAGCUCCUAGACAUGGAAUGUAUGCCCUGCAGGCUGGUCUCUUUCCUGACAGCUGAGAUGUCCUGUCCUAAGAACAGAGCCUGGCACGUGUCGGACAACUGUGGAGGGAACUGAUGAGUGAAAGAGAGCAUGGAGAAAUGAAUGAAUCAGCAUAAGCCCCACAGGGACGAAGACUAUAACUGGAGCACCCUUUCAUCCCCACUGCUGGACACAGGGUGGGGAACACUAAAUGUGCGCUAUGCAUUGUUUAUCGAACCAGGCUCUAUAUCAAAAAAACAAAACAAAAC
Molecule: long non-coding RNA, 416 nt
Organism: Symphalangus syndactylus (siamang)
Lineage: Eukaryota; Metazoa; Chordata; Mammalia; Primates; Hylobatidae
Source: RefSeq, a predicted model, not a curated record